Molecule: long non-coding RNA, 669 nt
Filed under: Physcomitrium patens
Lineage: Eukaryota; Viridiplantae; Streptophyta; Bryopsida; Funariales; Funariaceae
Description: long non-coding RNA (PPAT_LNC008958)
Source: RNAcentral
UACGGAGGUCAUCCCAGACCUGGCGCUGUCUACGGUGGUGGACGUGAUCGCACUAGGCCGAGCGAGGAUGAAGCACAACCCGAUUAUGGACGCCAUAGGCCUUCUUACGGUGGAGAAGAAGAAGAGUCGGGCUACCGCAAGCCAAGACCUGCAUACGGUGAAGAAGAAGAAGAGUCGGGCUACCGCAAGCCAAGACCCUCAUACGGCGAAGAAGAAUCCGAGGAAGGGGGAUACCGCAAGUCCAGACCUUCCUACGGCGAGGAAGAGUCCGAGGAGGGAGGAUACCGCAAAUCGAGACCCUCAUAUGGCGAGGAAGAGUCCGAGGAGGGAGGAUACCGCAAAUCCAGACCCUCAUAUGGCGAGGAAGAGUCCGAGGAGGGAGGAUACCGCAAAUCCAGACCCUCAUAUGGCGAGGAAGAGUCCGAGGAGGGAGGAUACCGCAAGCCGAAACCUAAAUACGGCGACGACGAGGAGGUGUCCGAUUACCGUAGGUCAGGAUACGGUGAAGAAGAAGAGUCUGGUUAUCGCGAACCGAAGCCAACUUACAAUGAGGAAGAGAGCGAGGAGUCUGGGCACCGUCGCUCUCGAUACGGGGAAGAAGAGGCUCCCGCCGAGGAGGGAGGCUACGGUGGCUAUGGCCGUCGCAAGCAGCACAACGAGGAGGAGUCC